AGUGAACGCUGGCGGUAGGCCUAACACAUGCAAGUCGAACGGCAGCACAGUAAGAGCUUGCUCUUACGGGUGGCGAGUGGCGGACGGGUGAGGAAUACAUCGUAAUCUACUUUUUCGUGGGGGAUAACGUAGGGAAACUUACGCUAAUACCGCAUACGACCUACGGGUGAAAGCAGGGGAUCUUCGGACCUUGCGCGAUUGAAUGAGCCGAUGUCGGAUUAGCUAGUUGGCGGGGUAAAGGCCCACCAAGUCGACGAUCCGUAGCUGGUCUGAGUGGAGGAUCGGCCGCACGGGAACUGAGCCACCGACCAGACUCCUGCGGGAGGCCGCAGUGGGGAAUAUGGGACAAUGGGCGCAAGCCUGGUACAGCCAGACCGAGUGGGUGAAGAAGGCCUUCGGGUUGUGAAGCCCUUUUGUGGGGAGAGAACAGCAGCAGGUUAAUACCACGCUGUUCUGACGGUACCCAAAGAAUAAGCACCGGCUAACUUCGUG
Molecule: ribosomal RNA, 492 nt
Filed under: uncultured bacterium
Lineage: Bacteria
Description: partial 16S ribosomal RNA
Rfam family: Bacterial small subunit ribosomal RNA
Source: RNAcentral